RNAcentral lists this ribosomal RNA (373 nucleotides) under uncultured bacterium. RNAcentral describes it as "bacterial SSU rRNA". It matches the Rfam family "Bacterial small subunit ribosomal RNA", at positions 156 to 525 of the family's 1533-position model. The record is from RNAcentral.
AGAUGGACUAAUACCGCAUACGCUCUACGGAGGAAAGCGGGGGUCGCAAGACCUCGCACUAUAGGAGCGGCCGAUAUCGGAUUAGCUAGUUGGCGGGGUAAAAGCCCACCAAGGCGACGAUCCGUAGCUGGUCUGAGAGGAUGAUCAGCCACACUGGAACUGAGACACGGUCCAGACUCCUACGGGAGGCAGCAGUGGGGAAUUUUGGACAAUGGGCGCAAGCCUGAUCCAGCCAUGCCGCGUGAGUGAAGAAGGCCUUCGGGUUGUAAAGCUCUUUCGGCAGGAACGAAAUGGUUCGUGCUAAUACCACGGAUUGAUGACGGUACCUGAAGAAGAAGCACCGGCUAACUACGUGCCAGCAGCCGCGGUAAUA